This 34199-nucleotide long non-coding RNA is filed under the name Durio zibethinus. Its description in RNAcentral is "long non-coding RNA (DZIB_LNC001572)". The record is from RNAcentral. Lineage: Eukaryota; Viridiplantae; Streptophyta; Magnoliopsida; Malvales; Malvaceae.
AAAUUAAUAACCAACAAAAAAAGCAAAAUUAAUUACCGGUAUUGAUAGGCCUAUUGGGUCAAAAGACACAGUUUUUCUUACAUGGGCUGGGUCCAUUAGUACCGAAAUCGGGCUUUCCUUUGCACUAAAACACAAUGAUCGAUUCCCCAAUUUGGUAAUUUUUUGGAAUUAUAAACUGAUUGAAGAAAGAUACGCAAAGCAAUUAACAUAGAAAAGCAAAAUAAAAGAAAAUUGUUGUCAAAAGGGGUUUAAAGUUAUGGGAUUUCAAUCAAUUUUUCCCCCUCUUCUUUUUCUUUUUCCUGGUAAAAAUUUCCUCAUGCCCAGUUUUAUUUUCAAUCUUAAAAAAUUCUUUUUUUUACUGUAAAAUAUGGGUCUUUUUUUAAUUGAUUUUAUCUACUGUCUUUACAGUGACACUAUAAUUCGAGAGCUGGAGCAAUUGCAGCAAAUUUUUGGACACCCAACAUCGGCAAGGGCAGAGUAUUUGAUUUUUUUUUUUAAUUUCUUCUUUCUAUGAUCUUUGUUGGACUUUCACUGUGUAGAACGAAUUCUAUUUUUAGCUAGGCAUAACUUCUUUUUUUCUUAUUUUUGUUACUCAGGCUUUAUUGUAUGUUGGUUCUGUUCUGUUUUACCCAUAUUUCAUCAAUUUUUAUGAUUUAAAUUGAACUACUAUGUGAAAAGGAAUAUCGAGUAUUGCCAAGUAGUAUUUUCUUUGACUAUUACUGUACAUAAUUGUCAAUUUUGUUGUUCAAUUGCUAGCUGUUAAAUUUGCUGCAAAAGAAUGAUUAUUGCAGUUUGAAUCUCUUGUUUUUAUGGGGAAGAAUGGGAGGGUUGAAAAAGGGAAAUAAAAUGAAAUAGUUGGGUGGAAAGUGUUACCUUUUAUGGAGUUCUAGCUUAAUCAUCAUUUGUUUAAUUGUACAUUUUACACUUUCCAACAAUUGAAUGGAGCGAGUUUUUUGGAUUUCCAUUUCAUUGCUUUCAAGUAUCUUGGUCUAGAUAAGUUCCGUCCGUGUUUUCUGUUUUCAAAAUGAAUUAAUAUAUAUGACAUAACAGGUUCUUCUUGCAAAUUGGGAAUUGAAUGUUUAUAUGAAAAGGUGUUUAAAAUCUGAUCUUUUCUUUGUGGCAUCCAUAUUCUGCAAAGAUCUUUUGCCCUGUCUUUGUCCACCUCCUAGGUCUCAGUAUUUUGUCGGUUUGCUUAUGGUAGAGUUUGAUCUCCUUCUCUCCCAUUUUCCCUUUGUCCCCACUUUUCCUCUCCUUCCGCUUUAGCUCUUGAAAUUGCAUUUUAGAUCCUUGGUUGUUAUAGUGGAUUACAAGCAUACUUAACACUACGUUCAAGCUGUUGAAUUUUAGGUUCAACUUUCAAGUGUUAAAGUUUUAUUAAAGUUUUGAUUUCUUAUGUAAGCUUGUUUUACCCCCUUUUUUAGAGGGAGAGGGGGUUUGAGAGAGAUAAAAAUAGCACUUAUAUUAGUGUAUAUGGAUGUAUGUAUGUAUGUAUGUAUAUGGUAUACAUAAACAUAGGUUUAAAAAGUAUGCUACAUACGAUGUUUCUAUAAUACAAAAUUGUGUAAUUGCAAAAUAAAAUGUAAAUUUCAAGUACUGUGCACACUUAAAUUAUUUCUUAAAAAAUUCUAAAAAUUAAAUUCAAUAAAAUUAGAGUAUAACUUAAUGACCAAUAACAAAUAAAACUAAAAAAGGGAACCAUCAAGAACAUAAAAUUACUUGUGCAAAAUUAAUGCAUUAGCGAACCAUAUGAGGUUCUUGGUUGUUUUGCCUUAUUUAGAGGCUGUUUGAUUGGGUUUUUGCUAUUUGCUUUUUGCUUCCGAAAGUAAAAAAGCAAAAAUUGCAUUCCCAUAAGCAAUAAAAUAUUGAAGAGUUAAACACAAAAUAUGUAAAUUUUUUAUGAUUAACUACAUGAUUCUACUUCUAUAUAUACUAAUUGUGUUAUAACUGAUUUUAUAUUUUAAUUAUUUUUUCUGUUUCAGAUCAGUUAUGAUAUAUUUAUUGUUUACCUUUUGCUUUUCCUUUCUAGUAAAAUAUAUACGUUUUAUUCAUGUUCAUUUGUAACUUACCAGACUUCUUGACCAUGUUCUAGAAAUGCUAGUAUGUAACGAGUUUGCUUUGAAUAUGGCAGCUAACAAUAUCAGUGAAUCUUAGGUUUGUUGAUGCAAAUCAUGGCUAAUAGAUUCACUUGAAGCCUACUUAUCUAAAGAUCUUUAGAUUUUUGGAGGAUGAAAUACAGAGGUGGUGCUGAUGUUAAUAAUAUUGGACACUGAACACUGUCAAACAACAUAGAGGUGGAAAUAUACUGACUUUUUCAGGUUUCAGGGUUGGUUUUAUUUGUUGACUUCAUUCUACUACUUUUUUUUUUUUUUUUUUGGAAAGAUAUAUACCAACAUCUUAUGUAAAUAUGUAACUUGAUAUAGAUAAUUUGUAAUUUUGGGGAAGAGAGAGAAGGAAUGAAAUUGAGAAGAUAGUGGUUUUUCUUUGAAAUUUUGCCAUGAUGUAAAGUUGUUCUAGUCAGAGUUUUUUGAUGUUAUGAUGCUUAAGAAAUCCAGAUACUAGUGAUAUCUUUCCCCAAAAUAGUUCAUUCUUCAACUCCAUCUAUUUCAUCUGGUUUGUUUCUGGGAAUAAAAGCAUAUUCCUUAUUGGUUGCAAAAUUUUCAUUCAUUUUAGCUUCAAAUUUAUUGAUCAAUUAAAUUAUUAAUUGACUUGGUUAGUAUUUGUUGAAUCAUAUAACUUAGAAAAUGCAAUCAGUUAGUGGAGUUUUUAGAUUAUACAAGUUAGAGGGCUGUCACAAACCCUUUUACAAAUGUAUUAAAAAAUUAUAUAAAAAAAUUAAGAUAUGUGAUUUUUUUUAAUAUUGUUUAUAAAAUUUAAAAGUUUCUAUUAAACAUAUGUAAAGAAAUAAAAAUAUAUAAAAAUUAUCUCGUAUACAUGAAAUUUGCGAAAGAAGAAGAUUUUUUUUUUUUUUUAUGUGAGGUUGUUAGGAUUUAAACUUAAACUAUUGAAACUAAGAGUUUUACAUUUUACUAACAGGUUACAUGGUUAUUGUCUCAUUGAAUUUUUAAAUUCAGAGGAACUCUUUUAAAUAUAUUAACAAUAAAAAACUAAAAAGAUGCACAUACCAUGAAAUCUAAUAGUACAUUAGGAACAAAAACAUGAGAAACAAGUUGCUCAAUCAACAAAUUGAUUGGCCAAAAAAUCAACAAAUUAAAAACCCUCGUUUUAUUUUUGCUCAAAAGUUUGAAAAAAAAAAAAUCAAAAGAACACAUUCAUUCCCACUUCUCAAACUUGUCUGUUUUAGAAAUUGUGAUUUUAUAAUAGUGGAAUAAGAAAGAAAAUGAUAGGUACCAUGGGAAUGUAUUGGUCUAAGUCUUAGUCUUUGCUUUAUACUUAAUUUUUUCAUCAAGCAUGCAGAUGUAUUAAUCUUUUUGGCCCCAUCUUUACUUCACAAAAAUAAUAAUUUUAGCAGUUGCUUCAAUCUAAAUCAUUAAAAAGACUAAAAUAUAACAAUAAUAAUUAAUAUACUUAAAAUCCAUUCCCUGUAUGCUAAUUUAAUUGAAAGACAAAAGACAACCUUUAUUGAAAAAAUUGUUAUAUAUAUUUUAUCUUUUUUAAAAGACAAACUUGACUUAAGCGAACUAUUAAGAAGAUUAUUUUUAACAGAGUAAUGAUAGGGUAAGAAGACUUAAACAUUUGUAUGAUUGGAAGAUGUAAAAGUAUAAAGCAAACAAAAGACUAAAUACCAAUAAAAAAAAUCUCAUACUAUCAUUUUCUUUGUGAGUCCAAAAUUAGAAUAUCAAUUUUUUUUAUAAACUAUAAUUUUAUGAUGGGUGAAUCAAAAUACAUCAUCAUUUUGUUUAUCUACAUCCACUUUUUAAAAAAUUUUUAAGUGAAAUUACUUAUUUACCUAUCUCAUUUUAAUUUUAAAACUUCUAGAUAUGCAUUUCUGAUAAAUUAUAUAAUUUUUUAGAUUUUCAUAUCUAAUAAGUUAAAAAAGAUAUAUUUAGGUUUGGAAAAAAAAAUUCAAAGAAAAUAUCUUACAAAAAGUAAGAGAUUCUAAUACUGUUUAAAAAAUUUUAAAACUCUAUUAAUCAUGUGUAAAGAAAUCGAAAUAUAUAAAAAUUAUCUUGUAUACAUGAAAUUUGUGAAAAUAGAAGAUUGUCUUUUUUUUUCUGCUUGUAUAUGAGAUUGUCUAGAUUUGAACUUUAAACUAUUAAAAGUAAGAGUUCAAUAUUUUAUUAACAAAUUACAUGGUUAUUGGCUCAUUCAAUUUUUAAAUCAGUGCAUCACUUUAAAAUAUAGUAACAAUAAAAAACUAAAAAAGAUACACAUAUCAUGAAAUCUAAUAAUACAUUAGGAACAAAAGCAUAAGAAACAAGUUGCUUAAUCAACAAAUUGAUUGGCAAAAAAAAUCAACAAAUUAAAAACCUAUCUUUUAUUUUUGCUGAAAAGAUUGAAACAAAAAAAAAAAAAUCUAAACAACACAUUCACUCCUAUUUCUCAAACUUGUCUAUUUUUGGAAAUUGUGAUUUUAUAAUGGUGGAAUAAGAAAGAAAAAGAUAGAUCCUAUCGAAAUGCAUGGCAUCAAGCAUGCAAAUGUGUCAGUCUUUUCACCCCCAUUUUUACUUCAAAAAAAAAAUGAUGUUAGCAAUUGCUUCAAUCUAAGUCAUUGAAAAGACUAAAAUAUAACAAUAUUAAUUACUAUAUUUAAAAUCCAUCUCCAGUCUACCAAUUUAAUUGGAAGACAAAAGACAACCACCAUUGAGAAAAUUGCUAUUUUUUUGUCUUUUUUAAAAGAUAGACUUGGCUUAAACAAACAACUAAGAAGAUUAUUUUUCAUAAAGUAAUGAUGGGACAAGAAGACUUAGACAUUUGCAUGAUGGAAAGACUUAAAAGUAUAAAGUAAAGAAAAUACUAAAUACCAAUAAAAAAAAUCUCAUAUUAUCAUUUUCUUUGUUAGUCCAAAAUUAGAAUAUCAAUUUUUUUUGUAAAGUAUAAUUUUGUGAUGGGUGAUUCAAAAUACACCAUCAUUUUUUCUCUACAUCCACCUUGUUUAAAUUUUUUUUAAGUGAAAUUACUUAUUUACUUAUCUUGUUUUAAUUUUAAAACUUCUAAAUAUGUAUUUCUGAUGAGUUAUAUAACUUACAAAAUUUUCAUAUCUGGUAAGUUAGAAAAAGUUACAUUUAAGUUUUGAAAAAAAAUAGUUAAGAGAAAAUAUCUUACAAAAAGUAUGAGAUUAUAAUACUAUUUAUAAAAUUUAAAAACUCUAUUAAUCAUUUGUGAAGAAAUUAAAAAAAUAUAUAAAUUAUCUUGUAUACAUGAAAUUUUUUCAUUUGAAGAUUGUCUUUUUUUUAUUUUUUUUAUAUGUGAGAUUGUUAGGAUUUGAAUUUUAAAUUAUUGAAACUAAGAGUUUAGCAUUUUACUAACAGAAUAUAUAGUUAUUAGCUCAUCGAAUUUUUAAAUUAGAGGAUAUCUUUAAAAUAUAUUAACAAUAAAAAAUUAAAAAAAAAUGCACAUACCAUGAAAUCUAACAAUACAUUAGGAACAAAAGCAUGAGAAAGAAGUUGCUUAAUCAACAAAUUGAUGGGCCAAAAAAAAUCAACAAAUUAAAAACUUGUGUUUUACUUUUGCUGAAAGGUUUGAAAAAAACAUCUACAUAAUAUAUUCAUUCUCACUUCUCAAACUUGUGUAUUUUGGAAAUUGUGAUUUUAUAAUGGUGGAAUGAGAAAGAAAAAGAUAGAUCCUAUCAGAAUGCAUGGGUCUAAAUCAUAGUCUUUGCUUCAUACUUAGUCUUGGCAUCAGGCAUGCAAAUGUGUCAAUCUUUUCACCCCCAUUUUUACUUCAAAAAAAUAAUGAUGUUAGCAAUUGCUUCAGUCUAAGUUAUUGAAAAAACUAAAAUAUAACAAUAUUAAUUAAUAUACUUAAAAUCCAUCCCUUGUGUGUCAAUUUAACUAGAAGAAAAAAGACAACUUUCAUUGAGAAAAUUGUUGUUUUUUAUUUUUUUGUCUUUUUUAAAAGGCAGACUUAACUUAAGCAAAUUGAUAAGAAGAUUAUUUUCACAGAGUAAUGAUGGGGCAAGAAGACUUAGAUGUUUGCAUGAUGGGAGGACUUAUAAAAUAAAGAAAAGAUUAAAUACCAAUAAAAAGAUCUCAUACUAUCAUUUUCUUUGUGAGUCCAAAAUUAAAAUAUCAAAUUUUUUAUAAAAUAUAAUUUUCUGAUGGGUGAUUCUAAAUAUAUCAUCAUUUUUUUCUCUACAUCAAAAUUUUUUAAAAUUUUUAAGUGAAAUUACUUAUUUACCCAUCUCGUUUUAAUUUUAAAGCAUCUAGAUAUAACUUAUUAGAUUUUCAUAUCCAGUAAGUUAAAAAGUUACAUUUAGGAAUGGAAAAAAAUAGUUAAGAGAAAAUAUCUUGCAUAAAGUAUGAGGUUCUAAUGCCAUUUAUAAAAUUUAAAAUCUCUAUUAAUCAUAUAUGAUGAAAUUGAUAUAUAUAUAUAUAUAUAUAUAAAUAAUCUUGUAUACAUGAAAUUUGUGAAAUUAGAAAAUUAUCUUUUUUUUUUUUUUUGUAUGUGAGGUUAUCAAGAUUUGCACUUUAAACUACUAAAAUUAAGAGUUCAACAUUUUACUAACAAACAAUAUGGUUAUUUGCUCAUUUAAUUUUAAAUCAAAGAAUCUCUUUAAAAUAUAUUAACAAUAAAAAAACUAAAAAAUAAAAAAAUGCACAUACCAUGAGAUCUAAUAGUACAUUAGGAACAAAAGCAUGAGAAAGAAGUUGCUUAAUUAACAAAUUGAUUGCCAAAAAAAAAAAAAUCAACAAAUUAAAAACUUGUCUUUUGUUUUUGUUGAAAAGUUUGAAAAAAAAAUCUAAAGAACACAUUCACUCCUAUUUCUCGAACUUGUCUAUUUUGAAAAUUGUGAUUUUAUAACAGUAGAAUGAGAAAGAAAAAGAUAAAUAGAUCCUAUCGGAAUGCAUGGGUCUAAAUCAUAGUCUUUGCUUCAUACUUAGUCUUGGCAUCAACCAUGCAAAUGUGUCAAUCUUUUUGCCCCCUUUUUUACUUCAAAACAAUAAUGAUGUUAGCAAUUGUUUCAGUCCAAGUCAUUGAAAAGACUAAAAUAUAAUGAUAUUAAUUAAUAUACUUAAAGUCCAUUUCCAGUUUGCCAAUUUAAUUAGAAGACAAAAGAUAACCAUCAUUGAAAAAAUUGCUAUUUUUUUGUCUUUUUCAAAAGAUAGACUUGACUUAAGCAAACUGCUAAGAAGAUUAUUUUUCACAAAGUAUGAUGGGGCAAGAAGACUUAGACAUUCUGUAAUGUGGGAAACUUAAAAAGUAUAAAUAAGAAAGACUAAAUACGCAAUAAAAAAAUCUCAUACUAUCAUUUUCUUUGUUAGUCCAAAAUUAGAAUAUCAAUUUUUUUUUUUUGUAAAUAAUAAUUUUGUGGUGGUGAUUCUAAAUACAACAUCAUUUUUUCUCUACAUCCACCUUUUUAAAAAAUUUUUAAGUGAAAUUACCUAUUUACUCAUCUUGUUUUAAUUUUAAAACUUCUAAAUAUACAUUCCUAAUGAGUUAUAUAACUUACAAAAUUUUCAUAUCCAGUACGUUAGAAAAAGUUACAUUGAAGUUUGAAAAAAAAAGUUAAGAGAAAAUAUCUUAUAAAAAGUAUAAGAUUUUAAUAAUGUUUAUAAAAUUUAAAAACUCUAUUAAUCAUAUGUGAAGAAAUUAAAAUAUAUAUAUACAUAAAUUAUCUUGUAUACAUGAAAUUUUUUUCAUUUGAAGAUUGUUUUUUUUCAUUAAUUUUUUUAUAGUGAGAUUGUCAUGAUUUGAAUUUUAAACUAUUGAAACUAAGAGUUUGGCAUUUUACUAAUAGACUAUAUGGUUAUUUGCUUAUUGAAUUUUUAAAGUAGAGGAUACCUUUAAAAUAUAUUAACAAUAGAAAACUAAAAAAAUGCACAUGCCAUGAAAUCUAAUAGUACAUUAGGAAUAAAAGCAUGAGAAAGAAGUUGCUUAAUCAAGAAAUUGAUUGGCAAAAAAAAACAACAAAUUAAAAAUCUGUGUUUUAUUUUUACUGAAAGGAUUGAAAAAAAAUCUAAAGAACACAUUCACUUUCAUUUCUCAAACUUGUCUAUUUUGGAAAUUGUGAUUUUAUAAUGGUGGAAUGAGAAAGAAAAAGAUAGAUCCUAUCGAAAUGCAUGGGUCUAAAUCAUAGUCUUUGCUUCAUACUUAGUCUUGGCAUCAACCAUGCAAAUGUGUCAAUCUUUUCGCACCCAUUUUUACUUCAAAAAAAUAAUGAUGUUAGCAAUUGCUUCAGUCUAAGUUAUUGAAAAAACUAAAAUAUAACAAUAUUAAUUAAUAUACUUAAAAUCCAUUCCUAGUUUGCCAAUUUAAUUAGAAGACAAAGACAACCACCACUGAGCAAAUUGCUUUUUUCUUUUUUUUUUGUUUUUUUUAAAUGAUAGACUUGACUUAAGCAAACUACUAAAAAUAUUAUUUUUCAUAGAGUAAUGAUAGGGCAAGAAGACUUAGACAUUUGCAUGAUGGGACGGCUUAAAAAUAUAAACUAAAGAAAAGACUAAAUACCAAUAAAAAAAAAUCUCAUACUAUCAUUUUUUUUGUGAGUCCAAAAUUAAAAUAUCAAUUUUUUUAUAAAGUAUAAUUAUGUGAUGGAUGAUUCUGAAUACCCCAUCAUAUUUUUCUUUACAUCCACUCUUUUUUUUUUAAUUUUUAAGUAAAAUUACUUAUUUAUCCAUCUCUUUUUAAUUUUAAAACAUCUGGAUAUAACUUAUUGGAUUUUCAUAUCUGGUAGGUUAAAAGUUACAUUUAGGUUUGGAAAAAAAUAGUUAAGAGACAAUAUCUUGUAUAAAGUAUGAGAUUCUAAUGCCAUUUAUAAAAUUUAAAAUCUCUAUUAAUUAUAUAUGAUGAAAUCAAAAAAUAUAUAAAUUAUCUCGUAUGCAUGAAAUUUUUGAAAUUAGAAAUUUAUCUUUUUCUUUUUUUUGUAUGUGAGGUUAUCAAGAUUUGAACUUUAAACUACUAAAAUUAAGAGUUCAACAUUUUACUAACAAACUACAUAAUUAUUUGCACAUUUAAUUUUAAAAACUAACAAUAAAAACAUUUUAAAAUAUAUUAACAAUCAAAAUCUAAAAAAUAAAAAAAUGCGUAUACCAUGGGAUCUAAAAGUACAUUAGGAACAAAAGCAUGAUAAAGAAGUUGCUUAAUCAACAAAUUGAUUAAAAAAAUCAACAAAUUAAAAACCUAUCUUUUAUUUUUUUCUGAAAAGUUUGAAAAAAAAAAAUCUAAAGAACACAUUCACUCUCAUUUCUCAAACUUGCCUAUUUUGGAAAUUGUGAUUUUAUAAUGGUGGAAUGAGAAAGAAAAAGAUAGAUCCUAUCAGAAUGCAUGGGUCUAAAUCAUAGUCUUUGCUUCAUACUUAGUCUUGGCAUCAAGCAUGCAAAUGUGUCAAUCUUUUUGCCCCCAUUUUUACUUCAAAAAAAUAAUGAUGUUAGCAAUUGCUUCAGUCUAAGUUAUUGAAAAAACUCAAAUAUAACAAUAUUAAUUAAUAUACUUAAAAACCAUUCCUAGUCUGCCAAUUUAAUUAGAAGACAAAGACAACCACCACUGAGAAAAUUACUUUUUUUUUGUCUUUUUUAAAUGAUAGACUUGACUUAAGCAAAUUGUUAAAAAUAUUAUUUUUCACAGAGUAAUGAUAGGGCAAGAAGACUUAGACAUUUGCAUGAUGGGAAGGCUUAAAAGUAUAAAGUAAAGCAAAGACUAAAUACCAAUAAAAAAAAUCUCAUACUAUUAUUUUUUUUGUGAGUCCAAAAUUAGAAUAUCAAUUUUUUUAUAAAGUAUAAUUUUGUGAUGGAUGAUUCUGAAUACCCCAUCAUAUUUUUCUUUACAUCCACUCUUUUUUUAAAAAAAUUUUUUAAGUGAAAUUAUUAAUGUACUUAUCUCAUUUUAAUUUAAAAGCUUCUAGAUAUGCGUUUCUUAAGUUAUAUAUCUUAUUGAAUUUUCAUAUUCGAUAAAUUGAAAAAGGUUAUAUUUAGGUUUGAAAAAAAAUAGAUAAGAGAAAAUAUCUUAUAGAAAUUACAAGAUUUAAGAAUGUUUAUAAAAAUGAAAAACUCUAUAUAAAUUAUCUCUCAUACAAGAAAUUUUUUUAAAUUAGAAGUUUUUUUUUUUUUUAUAUGAGGUUGCUAGGGUUUGAACUUUAAACUAUUAAAACUAAGAGUUAAGCAUUUUAUUAACAGAUUAUGUGGUUAUUAACUCAUUGAAUUUUUAAAUAAGAGGAUAUCUUUAAAAUAUAUUAACAAUAACAAUUAAAAAAUAAAAAAACUGCACAUACCCUAAAAUCAAAUAGUACAUUAGGAAUAAAAGCAUGAAAAAGAAGUUGCUUAACGAACAAAUUGAUUGGCCAAAAAAAUCAACAAAUUAAAAACUUGUGUUUUAUUUUUGCCAAAAAGUUUGAAAAAAAAUCUAAAGAACAUAUUCAUUCUCACUUAUCAAACUUGUCUAUUUUGGAAAUUGUAAUUUUUUAAUGGUGGAAUAAGAAACAAAAUGAUAGAUACUAUAGGAAUGUAUUGGUUUAAGUCUUAGACUUUGCUUUAUACGUAGUUUUGGCAACAAGCAUGCAAAUGUGUUAGUUUAUUUGCGUCCAUCUUUACUUUACAAAAAUAAUAAUCUUAGCAAUUGCUCCAAUCUAAGUCAUUAAAAAGACUAAAAUAUAACAAUAAUAAUUAAUAUACUUAAAAUCCAUUUUCAGUUUGUCAAUUUAACUGGAAGACAAAAGAUAACCUCCAUUAAGAAAAUUGCUAUGAUUUUUUUAUCUUUUUUAUAAGACAGACUUAACUUAAGCAAAUUGGUAAGCAGAUUAUUUUUCAUAGAGUAAUGAUGGGAUAAGAAGACUUAGAUAAUUGCAUGAUGAGAAGACUUAAAAGUAUAAAGUAAAGAAAAGACUAAAUGCCAACAAAAAAUCUCAUACUAUCAUUUUCUUUGUGAUUCCAAAAUUAGAAUAUCAAUUUUUUUAUAAAGUAUAAUUUUUUGAUGGGUGAUUCUAAAUACACCAUUUUUUCCUCUACAUUUACUUUUUUUUUAAAGUUAUAUUACUUAUUUACACAUCUCAUUUUAAUUUUAAAACUUUUGAAUAUACAUUUCUGAUAAGUUGUAUAACUUAUCGAAUUUUCAAUUCUGAUAAGUUAAAAAUGAUAAAUUUGAUUUGGAAAAAAAAAAGUUAAAAGAAAAUAUGUUACAAAAGUAUGAGAUGCUAAUAUUGUUUAUAAAAUUCAAAAAAUCUAUUAAUUGUAUGUGGAGAAAUCGAAUAUAUAAAAAUUAUCUCGUAUAUAUGAAAUUUGUGAAAUUGGAAGAUUGUCUUUUUUUUUCUUGUAUGUGAGGUUGUCAAGAUUUGAACUUUAAACUAUUGAAACUAAAAAUUUAGUAUUUUACUAAUAGACUACUUGGUUAUUGGAUCAUUGAAAUUUUAAAUUAGAGGAUCUCUUUAAAAUAUAGUUAAUCAUAAAAACUUGAAGAAAUAAAAAAUGCACAUACCAUGAAAUCUAGCAGUACAUUAGGAACAAAAUCAUGAAAAAAAAUUGUUUAAUCAACAAAUUGAUUGGCCAAAAAAAAUUAAUAAAUUAAAAAUCUGUGUUUUAUUUUUUUGAAAAGUUUGAAAAAAAAAUCUAAAGAACACAUUCAUUCUCUCACUUCUUAAACUUGUUAAUUUGGAAAUUAUGAUUUUAUAAUGGUAAAAUAAGAAAGAAAAUGAUAGAUACUAUGGUAAUGUAUGGGUUGAAGUCGUAGUCUUUGCUUUAUACUUAGUCUUGGCAUCAAGCAUGCAAAUGUGUUAGUCUUUUUGCCUCAUCUUUACUUUACAAAAGUAAUAAUAUUAGCAAUUGCUUUAGUCUAAGUUAUUAAAAAAAACCAAAAUAUAAAAAUAAUAAUUAAUAUACUUAAAAUCUUGUCCCAGUCUGUCAAUUUAACUAAAAGACAAAAGACAAUUUCAAUUGAGAAAAUUGUUCUUUGUUUUGUCUUUUUUAAACGAUAGACUUGACUUAAACAAAUUGCUAAGAAGAUUAUUUUUCAUAGAGGAAUGUUGGGGUAAGAAGACUUAGACAUUUGCAUGAUGAGAAGACUUAAAAGUAUAAAGUGAAUAGAAGACUAAAAACCAAUAAAAAAAUCUCAUACUAUCAUUUUCUUUGAGUCUAAAAUAAAAAAAUCAAUUUUUUUAUAAAGUAUAAUUUUGUGAUGGAGAUUGUAGAUACACUAUCAUUUUUUUCUCUACAUCUGGAUAUGAAAAUUAGGUAAUUUAUAUAACUUAUUAGAAAUACAUAUCUAGAAGCUUUAACAUUAAAAGGUGGAUCUCUAUAAAGUAUAAUUUCCAUUGAUUCAAGGACUUUGAAAAAAAAAAUAAAGACAAUUUUCAAAUCCUAAAGUUUUUCUUUCAUCCUAUUAUUUUCAAAUAAUUAAAAAUUUAGAUCCUAUUAUUUUCAAAUAAUUGAAUAUUUAGGUAUCUAUUGAAUACUACGAUCAACGUCUUGACUCUUUCAUUGUACGUUCUCAAAUCUUAUAGAUAAGAUUCCACCAAGUGAAUAAUUGCUAAUUAUUUAAGAUGAUUAAUUAUUACAUUCUUGAGAUUCAACUAAAAAAUAUAAUUUAGAUUUCAUUUGGUUUGUAUUUUUUUCUUUUACUAUUUUUUUUUCAAUUCAUUUAUUAAAAAAUAAAAACCAAAAGCAUCAAUUAAUUGGAGGAUUAAAAAGUGAGAAAAUUAUGUAAUCUCAUUGGUUAAUUUCCUUUUUUCGAUUAAAAAAUUUAUUCAGUUUAAAACAAUAUAAAGUAUGAGUGUAUUUGAUAUUAUAGAUAAAAUUUCUAAUGUUCUUUUUAUUUUUUAAAUUUUGUUGGGAUUUUAGAUUUUGAUUUAUUAUGAGUGUAUUUUAUAUUAAAAUCUUAAAUUUAUUAUAUAAAAUUUAUAUUUUGAGGUUUCAAAUAUAAAAAUGUAAUCAAAAUCAAAAUGAUUUUGGAAUAUACUCGUAUAGAAAAGUAAUAGAAUUUUGUGUUGGAAAAGCAAAGAUGAUAAUUUUGAAAUAUCCAAGUAGAGAAUGAUAGAUAAAGAAAAUGAGAUAGUGAGAGUAUAAUUAAUUAGUAAUUAGAAAAUGAAUUGAAAAAAAAAAAAAAAACUUAGAAGUGAUGAUUGAAGACAAUUGAAAAGAUCAAUAUAAUUACGUAAAGAUGGUAAUAUAUAGUCUAAUUAAAGAUUGAAGUUGAACAAUUAAUAUUUAAUUUUGAAUAAUUUAAAUUAAAUUCCCUUUUGAACAAUUAAAAAAAAAAGUUAGUAUUAAUUUCUUAUGUAGCGCGACAAUGAGAUUGAAACAAAAAUGCACCAAAUGACGUUCUUCUUCUGACUCCACUAGUGCCAAGUGUGCCAAAGUUCAUUCUCCAUUUUUGUCAUCUGAAUGACUUCGCCGGUAAGCAAUUCCGAAGGCUAUAAACUUUAAUUAGCAUAAAACAACACCAAUGCCAAGAUUACAUAUAAUAUUUUAUAGAAAAAAUUAUAAUAAUUUUUUUUAAAGGUUAGAUUUAAGAAGAGAGAAGGUGCUAUAGGUAAAAGAAUUUGAACUCUAAACCUGUUAGAUAUUAUCUUUUAAUGAUAAUUGUAUAAAUCAACUAGGAGCGUAACUAGGCUCAAAUUUUUUUUUUUAACCAUUGUAGCAUAAUACCUUAUCCAACAAAAAAUAAUAUUUGAUCCCUUCUUUCCUAAUCAAAUUAUAAUUUGACCUCUCAUUUCUUUUAUUUUUGGCUCUCCUUUCGAAAGUAACAAAUUCAAAAAAUUAUUUUAUUAUUAAUAUUCUUUUAUAUAAAUGUAUUUUAUUUAUUUAGUUUCUUAUGAGGUUGAUCAAGGAAGGAAGAAAGAAGCUUCUGACCUUAGACAAAGUAACUUUAGACCAAUUCUAAAGUUCUUUUAAAGAAAAGGAAACAAUUUUAGAUAAAGCAAAGCAAGAAACAUGUGUAUGAGGCAAGAACAAGAAAAACCCACGCGUCAUGAAUUGAAGACUAAUUCAUUAAUAGAAAAUCCCAUUAAUUAUUGUUCUAUGGAAAAAUAAUCGUUUUGUCACUUUCAUAUUUCUAAUGUUCAUAUUUGUAAUUUCACUCAUUCAUUAAUAUUAAGGUUCAUUCCCAUUAAAAUAAUAUUGGUUGAUAUUUUUAUUUGAAGUAUUGUAAAAUAUUAAAUAUGAAUCUAUAUGUUCUAAGUUCUUACAAUUCAAACCAAUAUUCUUUAAUAAUAUUAAAAACAAAAAUAAUAAAAAGUACUAUACAUAUGAUAAAUUCAAUAUUAAAUUAUUAAUAUGUUGUUUUGAAUUCUUAAUGAUUAAUAAAAAUAUUUUGCAAAUAAUAAUCCAAAAAUACAUUUCAAGACGAUUACAUAAAGUAAUAUAUUCACCUAAUGCAUUAAAAAUAAUAGAUAUAAAAUUAACUAUAUCAACCAUUACAUUUAAGAUUAAAUUAUUACAAUAAAUAGUAUAUUAACUAAUUUUAAAGAGUGGAUAAAUAAGUAUUACAAUAAGUAAUAUAUUAACUAAUUUUAAAUAGCAUAAAUAGUAUAUAUCAAAUAAUAUAUCAAAUAUUCAAUUAUUUACCAUCUAUCACCAUCCCUAAACAGAAUUUCAAGAGAGAAGCAAUCAAUCAAAUCUAAUGGAAUGGAUAGGAAGGUGAAGCACGGUCUAAAGCUAAGCUCCUGUGUCAGAUCCCAUUAUUUCCUCUGACUUGACAUCAAUAUACAAGCGAAAUCUGAAUGCUUGGAAACUCAGUUUCAGCAAUUUCACUUGGUUGCCUAGAUGUUUCCUGCAUGCUAUCAUCUUUUGCCUUCGUUUCCUUUCAUUCAUGCUUUUGCUUUAGAUUUUCAGGUUAGGUAGGCAAUAUUUUUACAACAUAUGAUACCAUAUUACAACAGGUUUUGCAACAAAAAAAGAAUAAAAAAUGCACUAAAUGGUAUCCAUAUGACUAAAUGAUAUCCUUUCUUUUUAAUUAUUAAUCUAAUGGUGCUAGGAUAAACUUUAUUAUAGACCAAAGAAUAAGGCAUACUAUUAUAAAGAAAGAAUUGUUAAAAUAAUUAUUCUUUUCUCUGAAUGCAUAUUUAGAAAAAAAAAAGAAAUUGAUACAUAUGAGGAAGUUGAUCAAGGAAACAAAAGGAGAUUCAAACGUUGAAUUGAAGAAGAAGAAGAAGAAACAAACUUAUUAAUUAGGAUUUAAAAAAAAAAAAAAAGAAGUGUUCCAUCUAAUUUCAUAAUAACAAAGUUGAGUUGACUCAUUAAUCUUUGCAAGUUUUACUUCUCUUCAGAUGUUAAACUUAGUGAAAAUUUUCAUUAUUUUUUAGUAGUGAAGAAAUUCCUUCCUACUGAUCUACAUGUAACACUGUUACCUAACAUUGAGAAAAUUAAUUUUUUUAUUUGUUUUUUUUUUUUUUUGCAUGAAUGCAUAAUAUGAAAUAAAAAGUAGGAAGAAAGGAAAAAAUAUAGUGACAAAGAUUAAUUUACAAAAGCAAAAUUAUCAGCCUUAUCACCAUUCAAAUCUGUUAUUCAUUCUUUAAAAUUCAAAAUGGACAAGCACUAAAUAUGUCUGUCAAUCUUCCACCUAUUUUGAUUCAACUCCUACAGAAAAAGCUCAAACUCAUGAUUUGUAGAAACACGUGAUUGGAAAAACGCAUGUGAACCUAUCUCUUGAUAUCUAGGGAGAUAUAUAGCUACAAUAACAGUAUAAUAAUGUGAAGUACUUGUCUAUAUAUACCAUGCAAGGAAAUCUCAAACUCCACAGUCUUCCCUUCAUUUUUUUAUAGAGAGCCAACAAAACAUGAAGAAUCCUCAUAUCCUAAUUUCACUCAUUUUUCCUAGCUUGUUUUUCUCCUCAUGCUUUGUAUCUCUUGUGCUAUCUUUUUCCCCUUCUUAUACUGAUCUCCAAAACCAGUGCCUUGAUGACCAGAGAUCUACUCUGUUGCAAUUGCAUCGUGAUCUUUACUAUGCUCCAAAUUUUACUUUCUCUACCGAAGUUGAGCUUUGGGAUCUCAACACUAAUUGUUGCUCUUGGAAAGGAAUUACAUGCGAUGCUCUUGGUCAUGUGAUUGGGAUUGAUCUCAGUUACAAAAAUCUUUCAGGCAGCUUUCACUCCAUUUUCAAUCUCCAUCAUCUUCAACGCCUUAAUCUUGCUGGAAACAAUUUUAAUUCCACUCUGUUUCAAUAUGAGUUUGACAAACUCCCAUAUUUAACUCAUCUCAACCUUUCAAACUCAUGUUUCCAUGGCCAAAUUCCUGUGGGGAUUUCAUACUUAACAAGGUUAGUCUCUCUUGAUCUAUCUAAUCAAGAUUCUUGCUAUCUACACAAUUACCAAAUUCUUGAUCCAAAUUUCUGGUAUGAUGUUUUUCCUUACAACCUUUAUCAACCUUUAAAACUAGAAAACCCAAACUUCAAGUCAUUCAUCCAAAAUUUGAAAUCUCUUACGGAGCUCUACUUGGAUAGUGUGAACAUUUCAACUCAAAGUACUAAAUGGUGUGAAGCCACAUCCAUAGUACUUCAUAACCUGCAUGUGUUAAGUCUGUCAUAUUGUGGUUUGAUAGGUCCAGUUUGUUCUUCACUCUCAAGACUUCCUUUUCUUUCCAAACUUUUCCUCAACGGGAAUUCGAUCUCUUAUUUGCCUCCUAAUUUCUUGGAAAUUUCCUCUCGUUUGCUUUCUCUCAGUUUAGUGAAUUGCAAUUUGAGUGGGCAUUUUCCAACUGAAGUUCUCUCAUUGCCAAAAAUUCGGAGCAUUGACAUUUCAGAAAAUCACUUUCUUGGAGGUCAGUUGCCAGAAUUUUCAUUAAACAAUGCUUUACAGAUCUUAACGAUUUAUUCUACAAAUUUCAGUGGAAAACUGCCAGAAACAAUUGGUAAUCUCAAGUUCUUGACAAAUUUAGAUCUCGAUAAUUGCAAUUUCUUUGGACAAAUUCCAUCAUCAAUUGCAAAUCUUACAAACCUUGUGGAACUGGAUCUAUCUGGUAACAAUUUCAGUGGUUUUAUCCCUGCAUUUCAUAGAUCUGGAGUUCCAAAUCUUGCAUAUCUUUAUUUGUCGUGGAACCACCUUUCUGGAUCAAUACAUUCUUCUUUAUUUACUCUCCCAUCAUUGCAGGCCUUGGAUCUUAGUGAAAAUCAAUUGAUUAGUGAAAUUGAAGAGUUCCUCAAUGAAUCUUCUUCAUUGAUUGAAACAUUGUAUUUAGGCUACAAUAGCUUUAGUUCCAUGAAGCUUGGCAUGUUCUCGCAACUCAAGAACUUACGGUUUCUUGACCUUUCCAAUACGAGCUUGUCAAUUGAAAGCAACAUCACAAGCCUUGCUUUUCCCCGAUUAGAGGAGCUAAACCUAAAUUCAUGUAACCUUACUGAAUUUCCAGAAUUCAUCAAAACUCAAGACAAGUUGACUAUUCUAUGUCUUUCUAACAACGAAAUCCAUGGUUUUGUGCCUAAUUGGUUGUGGAAGACCACUCUUUUAUGGUUAGACCUUUCUUUCAAUGCGAUUGAUUUUCCAAAAGACGUCCCUUUUGGUGAUGCAAACUCCUCUUUUCCAAUGUUGAGUCACUUGCGUUUACAAUUCUGUAACCUAAGCAUGUUUCCAGAGUUUUUAAAGAGUCAAACUAGUUUAGAAUAUCUUGUCCUUUCAAAUAACAAAAUAAGUGGUGCAGUGCCAAACUGGGUGUGGAAGAAAAGUUUGUGGUAUCUAAAUCUUUCUAACAAUUCUCUCUCAUCUUUGGACCAAUUUUCUUUGAACCAAUCUCUAACUUCUUCACAAGGCUCUUUAUCAAGACCUAUUUGCAAUUUGAGUCAACUUGCGACCUUUAAUGCAUCCUUUAACAAAUUAAGUGGGCCAAUCUCAAGUUGCUUGGGCAAUCUCAGUUCCCUCAGCUCUUUGGAUCUACAAAAAAAUAAUUUCAGCGGCAGCAUACCAGAUUUUGCAAAAGCGACCCACUUAUAUUGGCUUCAACUCAAUGAUAAUAAAUUGGAAGGGAAGUUGCCAAGGUCAUUAGCCAAUUGCACAAUGCUCCACGUUUUAAAUCUUGGAAACAAUACUCUGCAUGACACAUUCCCUUUGUGGUUGGGAAAAUUGCCUGCAUUGAUGGUUCUUGUAUUGCGUGCAAAUAAGUUUUAUGGUCCAAUUAAACAUAUGAAAAAUUGUUUUCAAGAUUUGGAUGUACUAGACAUUGCUUUCAAUAAUUUUUCUGGUCAAUUACCAAUUGAAUUCUUUCAAGCCCCUCAACUAAGGUCACUCAACAUUGGUGCGAAUAAACUGGAAGGAAAGUUGCCGAGGUCAUUAGCCUAUUGCAAAAAGCUUGAAGUUUUGGAUGUUGGAAAAAAUAUGAUACAAGACACAUUUCCUUUUUGGUUGGUGAAAUUGCCUUCUUUAAAGGUUCUUGUACUAAGAGCAAAUAGAUUUUAUGGUCCAAUUAAAAUUUCUGAGGAUGAAAAUGUUUUCCCAGAAUUACACAUAUUGGACCUCGCUUCCAAUAACUUUUCAGGUGUGUUAUCUGUUGGAUUUUUUCAAUCUUUGAAGGCAAUGAAGUCGAUGACUGAUCGCAACAAAGCUAAGCCAGAUUACAUUGGAGACAUGUACUACCAGGACUCUAUGACAAUUGUGAAUAAAGGGUUUGAAAUUUUUUACAAGAAAAUCUUAACCAUCUUUUCUUGUCUUGACCUUUCCAAUAAUAGUUUCCAUGGGAGAAUACAGGAGGAAAUACAAAACCUCAAGUCACUCAAAGCGCUAAACUUCUCCUACAACAGCUUCCUUGGCCCAAUCCCUUCAGCACUUGGAAACUUAACUGAGCUUGAGUCGUUGGACCUCUCCCAGAACAACCUCUCAGGAAAGAUUCCUCCACAGCUUGCAAGCCUAACUUUUCUUGAAGUAUUGAAUCUCUCUUACAACCAACUUGAGGGAAGCAUACCACAAAGCUACCAAUUUGGUACAUUUCAAAACGAUUCUUACAAAGGGAAUCCAAGAUUGUGUGGGCCGCCUUUGACAAAGAAAUGCAAUGAAGUUGGUCUUGGAAUGCAACCGCCUAAGGAAGAUGAGGAUUCAUGGGUAGACGGUAUAUCUGUUUGGAAAAUCGUUUUGACUGGGUAUGGAUGUGGUUUGGUAAUUGGGUUAUCUAUUGGAUAUACAAUGCUGAAUGAGAUGGGGAACAAAUGGAUGGAUAGGUUUACAUGGAAUCGAAAUCAAAAAUGGAGAAGAUCUUCUAGGUGACUCCAUCAAAAUUCAAGUUUCAAAUUCAUUUGGUAAGCAUUCUAGAAUACUCAAUAAUUCAAAAGUUUUCUUAUUGGUUCUUUCAGCUGUAGUUUAUUGCCUAAACAAAUAAAAUUAUUUAAAUACUCUGGUGCAUUAUAAGUGUGAUAUAUAUAUAUAUAUAUAUAUAUAUAUAUAUAUACUCAUUUCCCUUUUAAACUUGGCAUUGCUUUUAAAACUGAAAACAAAAAUUGCCUGCAACCGAGGAUAUGUCCUUUGAAUUCCUAACCUCAUGUUAUAAAUGACAAUCAUGAGUUUCCAAGUUAGUAAUUUGUAAAAGACAUGUGGGUGACUGGCAUUUUGAGUUAGAUUGGGCUGUCAACCAUCUUAACAGCAAAGCAAAGCUUUGGCAUCUAUUGUCCUUAAUUAGAUUGGCUUGGGAUGCUCAUAUAUAUUUUAUUUGGCAGGAGCACAAUCAAAGGAAGUUUGGCAGGCCAUCUAAAGAUAUAGAAGCUAUUGUUUCAACUAUCAGAAGUUACUUUUCGCUUAGUUCAAUAACAAGAUUGCAGUCUUCAGUUGCACUCUUCCUCUUCAACAACAGAAAUUGUGUCUGAAUGUUUUUAGCUUGGUGUUACGGUACUUGUGUCUUAGUUCUUUCUCUUCUGUUCACCUAAGAUGAUUGGCAGUAUGUCUGGUUGUAUUGUGCUUCUCUUCUGUUCUGUCUAUAAGGUGGCGUUUUACUGCUGAGUUAUGGGGUUCCCCUGUUGUUCACCCUAUUGUGUAACUCUGUUUUUAUUAAUAAUUUCUGGCUUAGCAAAAGAAAAAUGUGUCUGAAUUGGGGACAGGUUCCUUAAUGUUGCUUAGUUUGAUUACUUUGCAAAAGUUAGAUUGUUCUUGGACAUUUGUAAUGUUUUGAUAGCUUACUGUUUACUUGUAGCAAGUCUAAUGCUUUCUUUGCGUUAAUAAAAAUCAUUCACCCAAAGAAAUUCUUAACGAAAAUCUUAUUAUCUUUUAAGCUCUUCAUUAUUGUUAUACCUAAGUGAUCAUGUUAGCAGCCACAUAUUAGGUCUUACACAUGAAAACCCCGUUUGCGACAUCAUCAUCUAAAAGGUAUAAAAAGUAGAACCAAACCAGAGAGAUGAUUCGCUACUGAACUCUCUCUACUCUCUUUAACUGCUUCUUAUCAUUUACUUGCUUCUGGUAUACCUUACUAACUUAACUUGAGCGUCGGGGAAUGCCUCAAAAUAACAUUUUUGGCACACUGACUUUCUGCUCUGUGAUAGGUCACACAAACUCUCCUUCUCAACCUCCGGUAAAACUUUUGACUAUCAGACCAGGAAUUACAUUAACAAUAUCAAUUAUUCAACUCAACUAUUUGCGGUGCAGGAAUUUGAUAUAAGCCAUGGCAUGUACAACAAUGACUACGCCCACCACUUUAGCUGCCAAAACUAGAAGUUACAUCUCCUAACACAGAAAAAUCUUCACAGACCAAGCUCAAGCUAAGAUGCUUUAUUCCUGUAUUAACUGCUACAUCACUACAAAGAAGAAAACAUCGAAAAGAAAAUAACAAAGCUUCCGGUUCUAGGUAUCAAGCUCGACAAUUCCAAACUAACUUCGAUAGUAUUUUAUUGUCCCUAACAACUAUAGAUUUGACUAUGGCGAGAAAGAAUGAAAUAUUUCGCUUAUUAUUUUCUUCAACUUUAAUCCCAUAUCAUCCUUUGUUUCUUUGCUUCAGCACUCCCACAGACAAAAACAAAUGGCUUGUUGUAAGCUCUAUUGCUAUAUGAUUGAUUUGCAUGUAGAAUAGACCUUGACUAAACAAAAACAUGAGGGCAAUACAUUCAGUAACUUAUAUAUACUCACUUCACUAGAAUUCCAGUGAACCCUUUCAGUAACUUAUUCUCUAUCUAAUAGAAAUAAAGCGUCAUAACUAAAUAGGCAAUAUUCACAUUGAUGUGCUAAGUGUUCUGAUACAGCCACUAAUCCAUAAUUAAAAGAUGAAGUUAUAGAAGACAUGCUAUCUUUCAAGCACUGGUCAUUUUAUAGGUAGUUUUUUCUCUAGUAGUUACCUUGAUGCUGUAAACCAGAAAGGUUGUCAAGCCUUCUGACAUUUAGCCUAUUUUGAGUAUUAGCUCAGAAUUUAUGUUUAGAAGGUUGGUGGAGGUAAAAAGAUAUCUGAUGACUUUGGGGUUGACAAAAGCCACAUUGGGCAGAGUGAUCAUGCAUAUAUGAAGACUGUGCCCCUAGAGGCUUUCUCCUACAACUGUCCUCAUGCAGCCCUAAGUUCUUCCUCAUUUGAAUCCUUCUCUAACUAGAAAUGUAAGUAUCAACUAGAAAAAUAAUUUAAUCUUAUCAAUUCGGUCAUUUGAAAAUUUUACAGAGCAAAAAGAAAACAAAAACUCAUGCUAAAAAAGAAAAUUUUAGAGGGAAAAAAGGAAACCAAAAAAUAUUACUAUUUCUUGAGUUUAAGUUUAGGUUUGCUAGCUAAUUUCAUUUUUUUUUUAUUUAAUGCAGGACCUGUAUUUUUCCAGGAAGAAAACUGAUCAUUAAUGUUUUCUAUGCUUUGGACUUGGACAGCACAAAAAAUGACAGUUUCCAUUAGCCGCCCUACCCAAUUGAAACUACCUGCAAUCCAACAUUCUUAAACUCUUUGAAGUAACAUCCUAGAUCCUACCAGUAUGUGUCAUCGAGACCUGGAUUCUGAUCUGAUCAAGCUGAAUUCUUGGCCAUUAUGAAGGUUGUGAAGUUGGAUGCUGACCCUUGGAAAAUUAAUACUGGAUUGCAAUGCUAUCUCUAGGUAGAAGAAAUGCUACUUCGUGGGUAAAAGGCAGCAAUAGGGUUUGUUGGCAUCUUAGGAACGCCAAUUUUGUAUAUAAAUUACAAGUUUUACAAUUGUCUACUCAUUCAGCUGUUUUCGACGACUCUUGGAAUUUCAUGUAAAAACCUAAUUCUUGCUCUGCUUAAUACUAUCACUCAAUUCAUAAGUCUGUUGUGGAAUGACAGAAAAAAAUGCUUACCUAAAUAGUAAUGCACAUGCCUGCAGCAACAAUGAUUUUAAAGAGCUCAUCACUGCAUAAUCCAAAAUUCCCCCAAGCUCAAGCAGGGAAAUGAUUUCGUUUAAUAAGGUAUUCAGACAAGGGAAAUGAUUUUAAAGGGCGAUGAAUCGUCAUUGUCAUCAUCACUCUGGCCUACCCCUGCCUCAUCAUCAUCAUAAUCGCUACCCAAAACCAGAUUUCUCUUCCUUGCUUUCUCUGCUUCUUCCAGUCCUUCUCUAAUUGCCAUCCAGACUUGUAAUCUCCACUAUCAUGCAUAAACUUACAUGAAUCCUCUAACCACAGUAACCAGUUUCUUUGUAGUCUAUACAGAUGUCAGGUUGAUAAUCAAAUCUCUCUGAAACCCUGAUGUGGGCAGAAGCCCUAACGUGAGCCACCAGCUUUCUCACUGGCAACUGUCUGCUCCCUUCAAACGCAGCCUUAUGAUCCACAUAGCCAUGCUUUCCUUUAUACAACUUCUCUCCCACAGAGCUUUGGCUUUCCCCUUCAAAGCCUCCUCUGCUUGUUUAAGAACUUUCUCACCUAUAGCUCGAGCAUCUUAUAUAAACUCAGUCUCAGUUUCUAAGGUUGCGGUAGCUCUGCUAUCAUUUUGAACUUGAAGUUCCUUCGAAGACUCAAAUUGAAAAAUCGGUUUGUCAAAUUCUGUAUCUGAUUCAUUGAGAGCAGCACUCCUGGGGGAUCCAGUCGAAAAGUAUAACUUAUUGUCAGGCUUCAAAGCCCUCUUCUGAUUGUGUGACGGGGAUGUGCCAUUUCUGGAGUCUUCAUCUUCAUCUUCAUUUGUUUUCCUUUUCCUUAUGUUUUUGCCCUUUGUUAGCUUCCUAAAGAAAUUGCAGACUGAAAAAUCGAAGAGUUAACUAUAUAAGUAAAGAUACUGUCUGAAUUUGAUGCACACUAACAGAAACGGCCGGUUCUUUUUCAUUAUUAUUAUUUUUUUCAAAAAGAAAUGUCACAAUCACAGCGGCAAUGGGAGAACGCGACCACCGGUGCAGUGGCGGGCUUCGCCACCGUUGCAGCGAUUUACCCCCUGGACAUUGUCCGUACGAGAUUUCAAGGUAAUCCUCUUCUUCUUCUUCUUCUUCCGUCUCUUUCUUUAUAUAUACAUAGUUUCGACAAAAAAGUUUCAGUUUUUUUGGUGCUGAUUGGAUCGAGUUUUCAAAUAGUUAACGAUGGUCGACUCACCAAUUUCCCGACUUACAAGAACACCGCCCACGCCAUUUUUAUCAUUACUAGCUUAGAGGUUCACACCUUUUUUUUUCUUUCAUUUAAUUAGGCUUAGGCACUUUAUUUUUCUUUUCUCUCCAUGUAAAUUUGAGGUCUUUCUCGCUUUCAUUGGAGAUUAACGUUUCUCUUUUGUAUGCUGUUUUUCUUUUGAUAUAUGCUAAAAGUUUGGUGAGUUUGUCAUGCAGGGUUUGAAAGGGCUUUAUGCAGGCUUCUUUCCUGCAGUUUUAGCGUCCUCUGUUUCCUGGGGUUUAUAUUUCUUCUUGUAGGUGCCAUCAUCAAUUUACAUGUUACAACUUUUCCUUUGAUUACAGUACAUUUGUUGUCAAAUAUAUGUGCACAUUUGAAUUAUUAGCUGCAGCGGAAACGACUAAUUUGCUGAUUUUUUUUAAUGUAAAUAGAUUGAUUUUAAUAUGCAAUGGGGAAUAUAAAGAGUUAAUGUGUUUUGAUUUGUUGAAAAAUGUAGUGUGACAAUCAAUUAAUCUAAAGUGUCUGCUACUACUGUCUUAAUUUGAUGCAAGUUGCAAAUUAUCUCUGUUGAAACCCAGUUUUGAUGUUUAGAAACCAAAAUUCUGAGUAGAGUUUGAUAUGCAAUCAAACGGAAAAAGGGAAAAAAAACUCAACAAAAGAAAUGUGCUUCUGCAAUCUGCAAAAUUGGCUUGAAGAUCUUUCCUGAUUGAAGUGAAGCUUCAGAGAUGGAAAAUUGGCAAGUAAUAAUAAGUAAACACAUAUUAAUUACCUGCUUAAUCCAUUAAAUAAGAGAAAAAAACCUUAAUGACUUCAUAUCAAUAAUGAAAUGGGCCUACUGCAACAAUUCAGAAAAUGGAAUCAUACUUCAAAAACAUUCCAUUUGCUACAAUAUUGAUUGUACUGGUGACAAUGUCUAACCCACAAGCAUGAGCUCCAUGACCAAAGGUCCCUGCAAAUAGCUUCCACCAAUGCCGAGGAUUCUAAAGCUGUACAUAGCAAUUUGGUUGAAAGCAGAUUUGUGAAGCUUUCAUUUCAUAUAACUUGGCAGCAAGAAAAUGAUUGGGAGAAGCUAGUGAGUAUGGAGAAACGAUAUGGACAGGAUCACUAUCUUCAAUUUUGGACAGGAUGUUUUGAAGUCAAGAUCAGCUUGACGGGGUAAAGCAAAGACUUGGUGACUGGUGAGGAACUAAAUAAAAACUGAAAUAAUACCUUCAAUUUCCUUAAAAAUAUAAAUAAAACUCAAUGACAAUGAAGUUGAUGUAUUUUCAAAUUGUUCAAUGUUUAAAAACUGAAAACAAAAGAAGUAAUAGCAUCAUAUGUUGGCUGUUGGGUUCAGAAUAAUUUGUUGCUUACUUAACAUUAAAUCAUCUAUAAAGAAACUAUUUAGUCCCUUUUAGAUGCCAUCACAGACUCAGUGUGAUAGAAUUCAGGUCAAAAUAUGGAUUCAUCACCAUUUAUAUAUUUGUAUCUCACAUAUAUUUCAUUAUUGAUUUUAAUCUCUAUGCUAUUAUAUCUAAUCUCAUCAUAAUAAUAAUUAUUUUUUCUAUUAUCGUUAUUUUUAAUUUCACGGAAACUAAUUUUGCUUCUCAUCUAAAUUGUUAUCGAAAAAAAAGUGAGAUCUAGCACAAUACUUAUUACCCUUUUCAUUAUAUAUAUAUAUAUAUAUAUAUAUAUAUAUAAAACUUACAUAAUGCACAAUAGAUGGCACAAUUUUUAUGUAUAAAGAAGAACUCAUGAAUUUAAGUAUAAUCAUAUUUUGUUUUUAUUUUUUAAAAAAAUUUAUAUUAACAUUUGAAAUUUAUAUCCCUUUCUUUUGAAUUCAAAUUUCUAAACACAAAUUUAAUUAACAAAAGAAAUUCCUCUUUCAUUGAUCAAACAACAAAAAUUAAGAAACAAUCAUUGAGGAAAGAAAAACUAAUACCUCGAAAACAAAAAUAAGAAUUUAGGGCUUUAAUAAUGUUUGUUUUUCAAAAAAAAAAAAGAUUGUAAAAAAAAUUCAUACGUAUAAAUAAAAUUAAUAAUCAACCAAAAAGAGCAAAAUUAAUUACCCGAAUUAGUUUGGAUAAGCCUAUUGGGUCAAAAGACCUCUUUUUUUUACAUGGGCUGGGCCCAUUAAUACCGAAAUCGUGCUUCCCUUUGACUUCUUGCACUAAAAAUACAAUGAUGGAUUCCGAAUUUGGCAAUUGUUGUGAAUCAUAAAGUGUUUGAAGAAAAAUACGAAAAGCAAUUAACUGAGAAAAGCAAAAUUUAAAAAAAAUGUUGUCAAAAGGGAUUAAAGUUAGGGCGUUUUAAUCGAAUUUUCCUCUCCUUUUUUCAUUUUCCUGGUGAAAACUUCCUCAUGCCCAGUUUUAUUUUCAAUCUUAAAAUUUUUUUAAUUGAUUUUAUCUCCUGUUUUUGCAGUGACACUGUAAUUCGAGAGCUGGAGUCAUUGCAGGUAAUUUUUGGAAACCCCACAUUAGCAAAGGCAGAGUAUUUGAUUUUUUUUUUUUUUAAUUUCUUUUUUCUGUGAUCUUUUUUAGACUUUCACUGUGUAGAAAAGUUCUAUUUUUUGCUAAGCAUAACUUUUUUUUUUCUUAUUUGUGUUUCUCAGGCUUUAUUGUAUGUUGGUUUUGUUCUGUUUUAUCCAUAUUUCAUUUAUUUUUAUGAUUUGAAUUGAACUACUAUGUGAAAAGGAAUAUUGAGUAUUGCCAAGUAGUAUUUUCUUUGACUAUUACUGUACAUAAUUGUCAAUCUGUUAUUCAAUUGCUGGCUGUUAAAUUUGCUGGAAAAGAAUGAUUAUUGCAGUUUGAAUCUCUUGUUAUUAUGGGGAAGAGUGUGAGGGUUGAAAAAAGGGAAAGCAAAAUAAAAUGAAAUAGUUGGGUGGAAAGUGUUACCUUUUAUGGAGUUCUUGCUUGCAAUCAUCAUUUGUUUAAUUGUACAUUUUGCAUUUUCCAACAAUUGAAUGGAGGGAGUUUUUCGGAUUUCCAUUUCACUGCUUUCAAGUAUCUUGGUUUAGAUAAGUUUCGUCAGUGUUUUCUGUUUUCAAAAUGAAUUAAUAUACAUGACAUAACAGGUUCUUCUUGCAAAUCGGGAAUUGAAUGCUUAUGUGAAAAGGUGUUUAAAAUCUGAUCUUUUCUUUGUGGCAUCCAUAUUCUGCAAAGAUCUUUUGCCCUGUCUUUGUUCACCUCCUAGGUAUCAAUAUUUUAUCGGUUUGCUUAUGCUAGAGUUUGAUCUCUUUCUCUACCAUUUUCCCUUUGCCCCUACUAUUCCUCUUCUUCCUCUUUAGCCUUUGAAAUUGCUUUUUAGAGCCUUGGUUGUUAUAGUGGAUUACAAGCAUACAUAACACUAUGUUCAAGCUGUUGAAUUUUAGGUUCAACUUUCAAGUGUUAAGAGUUUUAUUAAAGUUUUAAUUUCUUGUGUAAGCCUUGUUUUACCCCCUUUUUUAGAGGGAGAGGAGGUUUGGGAGAGAUAAAAAUAGCACUUAUUUUAGUGUAUACGGAUGUAUGUAUGUAUGUAUGUAUAUGGUAUAUAUAAACAUAGGUUUAAAAAAUAUGCUACAUACAAUGUUUCUAUAAAAAAUCAUGAUUGCAAAAUAAAAUGUAAAUUUUAAGUACUGUACAUACAUAAAUCAUUUCUAAAAAAAUUCUAAAAAUUAAAUUCAAUAAAAUUAGAGUAUAACUUAAUGACCAGAAACAAAUAAAACUAAAAAAAAGAACUACCAAGAACAUAAAAUUAUUUGUGCAAAAUUAAUGCAUUAGUGAAUCAUAUGAAGUUCUUGGUUGUUUUGCCUCAUUUAGAGUCUGUUUGAUUGGUUUUUUGCUAGUUGCUUUUUGCCUCCAAAAGCAAAAAUGAAAAAAUUGCUUUUCCAUAAGCAAUAAAAUUUUGAAGAGCUAUACACAAAAUAUGUAAAUUUGUUAUGAUUAACUACAUGGUUCUACUUCUAUAUAUACUAAUUGUGUUAUAUAUUUUAAUUAUUUUUUCUGUUUUAGACCAGUUAUGAUAUAUAUAUUUUACUUUUUUCUCUUCCUUUCUAGUUAAAUAUAUACGUUUUAUUCAUGUUCAUAGGGAACUUACCAAACUCCUUGACCAUGCUCUAGAAAUGCCAGUAUGUAACGAGUUUGCUUUGAAUAUGGCAGCUAACAACAUCAGUGAAUCUUAGGUUUCUUGAUGCAAAUCAUGGCUAAUAGAUUCACUUGAAGCCUACUUAUCUAAAGAUUUUCGGAUUUUUGGAGGAUGAAAUACAGAGGUGGUGCUGAUGUUAAUAAUAUUGGAGACUGAACACUGUCAAACAACAUAGAGGUGGAAAUAUACUGACUUUUUCAGGUUUCAGGGUUGGUUUUAUUUGUUGACUUCAUUCUACUAUUUUUUUUUUUUGGAAAGAUAUAUACCAACAUCUUAUGUAAAUAUGUAACUUGAUAUAGAUAAUUUGUAAUUUUGGGGAAGAGAGAGAAGGAAUGAAAUUGAGAAGAUAGUGGUUUUUCUUUGAAAUUUUGCCAUGAUGUAAAGUUGUUCUAGUCAGAGUUUUUUGAUGUUAUGAUGCUUAAGAAAUCCAGAUACUAGUGAUAUCUUUCCCCAAAAUAGUUCAUUCUUCAACUCCAUCUAUUUCAUCUGGUUUGUUUCUGGGAAUAAAAGCAUAUUCCUUAUUGGUUGCAAAAUUUUCAUUCAUUUUAGCUUCAAAUUUAUCGAACAAUUAAAUUAUUAAUUGACUUGGUUAGUAUUUGUUGAACCAUAUAACUUAGAAAAUGCAAUCAGUUAGUGGAGAUUUUAGAUUAUACAAGUUAGAGGGCUGUCACAAACCCUUUUACAAAUAUAUUAAAAAAGUAUAUAAAAAAAUUAAGAUAUGUGAUAAUUUUUUAAUACUAUUUAUAAAAUUUAAAAGCUCUAUUAAACAUAUAUGAAGAAAUCAAAAUAUAUAAAAAUUAUCUCGUAUACAUGAAAUUUGCGAAAGAAGAAGAUUUUUUUUUUUUUUUAUGUGAGGUUGUUAGGAUUUAAACUUAAACUAUUGAAACUAAGAGUUCUGCAUUCAUUCCCACUCUUAUUUUGGAAAUUGUGAUUUUAUAAUGGUGGAAUAAGAAAGAAAAUGACAGAUACUAUGAGAAUGUAAUGGUCUAAGUAUUAGUCUUUGCUUUAUACUUAGUUUUGGCAUCACGCAUGCAAAUUUAUUAAUCUUUUUGCCCCCAUCUUUGCUUCACAAAAAUAAUAAUUUUAGCAGUUGCUUAAGUCUAAGUCAUUAAAAAGACUAAAAUAUAACAAUAAUAAUUAAUAUAUUUAAAAUCCAUUUCCUGUGUUCUAAUUUAACUAGAAGACAAAAGACAACCUCUAUUAAAAAAAUUGUUAUUAUUUUUUUUGUUUUUUUUAAAGACAAACUUCACUUAAACAAACUGCUAAGAAAAUUAUUUUUUAUAGAGUAAUGAUAGGGUAAGAAGACUUAAACAUUUGCAUGAGUGGAAUAAUUAAAAGUAGAAAGCAAAGAAAAGACUAAAUACCAACAAGAAAAUCUCAUACUAUCACUUUCUUUGUGAGUCCAAAAUUAGAAUAUAAAUUUUUUUAUAAACUUUAAUUUUAUGAUGGGUGAUUCAAAAUACAUCAUCAUUUUUUUUCUCUACAUCCAUUUUUAAAAUUUUUUUUAAGUGAAAUUACUUAUUUACACAUUUCGUUUUAAUUUUAAAACUUCUAGAUAUGCAUUUUUGAUAAGUUAUAUAACUUUUCAGAUUUUGAUAUCUGGUAAGUUAAAAAAAUAUAUUAAGGUUUAAAGAAAAUAAUUGAGAGAAAAUAUCUUAUGGAAAGCAUGAAAUUCUAAUACCAUUUAAAAAAUUUAAAAACUUUAUUAAUCAUAUGUAAAGAAAUUGAAAUUUAUAAAAAUUAUCUCACAUGAAAUUUGUGAAAAUAAAAGAUUGUCUUUUUUUUUUCUUGUAUAUGAAGUUGUCAAGAUUUGAACUUUAAACUAUUAAAACUAAAAGUUCAAUAUUUUACUAACAAAUUAUAUGGUUAUUGGCUUAUUGAGUUUUUAAAUCAGUGCAUCACUUUAAAAUAUAGUAACAAUAAAAAACUAAAAAAAAAUGCACAUACCAUGAAAUCUAAUAGUACAUUAGGAACAAAAGCAUAAGAAACAAGUUGUUUAAUCAAUAAAUUGAUUAGCCAAAAAAAUCAACAAAUUAAAAACCUGUCUUUUAUUUUUGCUGAAAAGUUUGGAAAAAAAAAUUCUAAAGAACACAUUCACUCCCAUUUCUGAAACUUAUCUAUUUUGGAAAUUGUGAUUUUAUAAUGGUGGAAUAAAAAAGAAAAAGAUAGAUCUUAUCAUAAUGCAUGGGUCUAAAUUAUAGUCCUUGCUUCAUACUUAGUCUUGGCAUCAAGCAUGCAAAUGUGUCAAUCUUUUCGCCCCCAUUUUUACUUCAAAAAAUUAAUGAUGUUAGCAAUUGCUUUAGUCUAAGUCAUUGAAAAGACUAAAAUACAAAAUAUUAAUUAAUAUACUUAAAAUCCAUUCCCAAUCUAUCAAUUUAAUUGGAAAACAAAAGAUAACCACCAUUGAAAAAAUUGCUAUUUUUUUUUGUCUUUUUUAAAAGAUAGAUUUGAUUUAAGCAAACUGCUAAGAAGAUUAUUUUUCAUAGAAUAAUGAUAGGGUAAGAAGACUUAGACAUUUGCAUGAUGGAAGACUUAAAAGUAUAAAGUAAAGAAAAGACUAAAUACCAAUAAAAAAAAAUCUCAUACUAUCAUUUUCUUUGUUAGUCAAAAAUUAGAAUAUCAAUUUUUUUUUGUAAAGCAUAAUUUUGUGAUGGGUGAUUCUAAAUACAACAUUAUUUUUUCUCUACAUCCACCUUUUUUUAAAAAAUUUUAAGUGAAAUUACUUCUUUACUCAUCUUGUUUUAAUUUUAAAACUUUUAAAUAUGCAUUUCUGAUGAGUUAUAUAAUUUACAAAAUUUUCAUAUCUGGUAAGUUAGAAAAAAGUUACAUUUAGGUUUAAAAAAAUAGUUAAGAAAAAAUAUCUUACAAAAUGUAUGAGUUUUUAAUAUUGUUUAUAAAAUUUAAAAACUCUAUUAAUCAUAUAUGAAGAAAUUAAAAUACAUAUAUAUAUAUAUAUAUAUUAUCUUGUAUACAUGAAAUUUUUUCAUUUUAAGAUUGUCUUUUUUUUUUUUUUUUAUAUGUGAGAUUGUCAAGAUUUGAAUUCUAAACUAUUGAAACUAAGAGUUUAGCAUUUUACUAUCAGACUAUAUGAUUAUUAGCUCAUUGAAUUUUUAAAUUAGGGGAUAUCUUUAAAAUAUAUUAACAAUAAAAAACUAAAAAAAUGCACAUACCAUGAAAUCUAAUAGUACAUUAGGAACAAAAGCAUGAGAAAAACGUUGCUUAAUCAACAAAUUGAUUGGCCAAAAAAAAAUCAACAAAUUAAAAACCUAUGUUUUAUAUUUGUUGAAAGGUUUGAAAAAAAAAAUGGUGGCAUAAGAAAGAAAAUGAUAGAUACUAUGGGAAUGUAUUGGUCUAAGUGUUAGUCUUUGCUCUAUACUUAGUUUUGGCAUCAAGCAUGCAAAUGUGUCAAUCUUUUUGCCCCCAUCUUUACUUCACAAAAAUAAUCUUAGUACUUCAGUCUAAGUUAUUAAAAAGACUAAAAUAUAACAAUAAUAAUUAAUAUACUCAAAAUCCAUUCCUUGUGUGCCAAUUUUAGUAGAAAACAAAAGACAACUUUCGUUGAGAAAAUUUUUUUUUUUUUUAUCUUUUUUAAAAGGCAGACUUGACUUAAGCAAAUUGCUAAGAAGAUUAUUUUCACAUAAAAAUGAUAGGGCAAGAAGACUUAGACAUUUGCAUGAUGGAAAGACUUAAAAGUAUAAAACAAAGAAAAUGAUUAAAUACCAAUAAAAAUAUAUCAUACUAUCAUCUUUUUUGUGAGUCCAAAAUUAAAAUAUCAAUUUUUUUAUAAAGUAGAAUUUUGUGAUGGGUGAUUCUAAAUAUAUCAUCAUUUUUUCUCUUUAUCAAUUUUUUAAAUUUUAAGUGAAAUUACUUAUUUACCAAUCUUGUUUUAAUUGUAAAGCAUCUAUAUAUAACUUAUUGGAUUUUCAUAUCCGACAAGUUAAAAAAAGUUACAAUUAGGUUUGGAAAAAAAUUAAGAGAAAAUAUCUUGCAUAAAGUAUGAGAUUUUAAUACCAUUUAUAAAAUUUAAAAUCUCUAUUAAUCAUAUAUGAUGAAAUCGAAAUAUAUAUAAAUUAUCUCGUAUACAUGAAAUUUGUGAAACUAGAAAAUUGUCCUUUUUUUUUUUUUGUAUGUGAGGUUAUCAAGAUUUGAACUUUAAACUACUAAAAUUAAGAGUUCAACAUUUUACUAACAAACUACAUGGUUAUUUACUCAUUUAAUUUUAAAUCAAAGAAUCUCUUUAAAAUAUAUUAACAAUAAAAAACUAAAAAAUAAAAAAAUGCACAUACCAUGAGAUCUAAUAGUACAUUAGGAAUAAAAGCAUGAGAAAGAAGUUGCUUAAUCAACAAAUUGAUUGGGAAAAAAAAUCAACAAAUUAAAAAUUGUCUUUAUUUUUGCUGAAAAGUUAAAAAAAAAAAAUCUAAAGAACACAUUCAUUCCCACAUCUAUAACUUGUCUAUUUUGAAAAUUGUGAUUUUAUAAUGGUGGAAUAAGAAAGAAAAUGAUAGAUACUAUGGGAAUGCAUUGGUCUAGAUCUUAGUCUUUGCUUUAUACUUAGUAUUAGCAUCAAACACGCAAAUGUGUUAGUCUUUUUGCCCCUAUCUUUACUUCACAAAAAUAAUAAUUUUAGUAGUUGUUUCAAUCUAAAUCAUUAAAAAGACUAAAAUAUAAUAAUAAUAAUUACUAUACUUAAAAUCCUUUCCUAGUUUGCCAAUUUAAUUGAAAAACAAAAGACAACCACCAUUUAAAAAUUGUUAUGUUUUUUUUUUUUUUUUUUAAGAGACAAACUUGACUUAAACAAAUUACUAAGAAGAUUAUUCUUCACAGAGUAAUGAUGGGGCAAAAAAACUUAGACAUUUGCAUGAUGGGAAGGCUUGAAAGUAUAAAGUAAAGAAAAGACUAAAUAUCAAUAUAAAAAUCUUAUACUAUCAUUUUCUUUGUGAGUCCAAAAUUAGAAUAUCAAUUUUUUUUAUGAAGUAUAAUUUUGUGAUGGGUGAUUUUGAAUACACCAUCAUAUUUUUCUCUACAUCCACUCUUUAUUUUUUAAAUUUUUAAGUGAAAUUAUUUAUUUACUCAUCUUGUUUUAAUUUUAAAGCUUCUAGAUAUGCAUUUCUUAAAUUAUAUAACUUAUUGGAUUUUCAUAUCCAAUAAGUUGAAAUACAUUUAGGUUUGAAAAAAAAAUAGUUACGAGAAAAUAUCUUGCAGAAAGUACGAGAUUUAAUGUUUAUAAAAUUUAAAAACUUUAUUAAUGAUAUGUGGAGAAAUAUAUACAUAUAUAUAUAAAUUAUCUCGCAUACAAGAAAUUUUUUAAAUUAGAAGAUUUUUUUUUAAUAUGAGGUUGUCAGGGUUUGAGCUUUAAAUUAUUAAAACUAAGAGUUAUACAUAAACUAUUAAAACUAUUAAAAAUAGCCCUUAUAUUAGUGUUUGGAUGUUUGUAUGUAUGUAUAUGGUAUACAUAAACAUAGGCUUAAAAAAUAUGCUACAUACGAUGUUUCUAUAAAAAUUCAUGUAAUUGCAAAAUAAAAUGUAAAUUUCAAGCACUAUGCAUACAUAAAUCAUUUCUAAAAAAAUUCUAAAAAUUAAAUUCAAUAAAAUUAGAAUAUAACUUAAUAACCAGAAAUAAAAAAUACUAAAAAAGGCAAAUACCGAGAAUAUAAAAUUACUCAUGCAAAAUUAAUGCAUUAGCGAACCAUAUGAAGUUCUUGGUUGUUUUGUCUUAUUUACAAUAUGUUUGAAUGGAUUUUUGCUAUUUGCUAUUUGCUUCCGAAAGCAAAAAAGAAAAAAUUGCAUUUCCAUAAGCAAUAAAAUUUUGAAAUAUGUAAAAUUUUUAUGAUUAAUUACAUAAUUCUACUUCUAUAUAGACUAAAUGUGUUAUAAUUGAUUUUAUAUUUUAAUUAUUUUUUUCUCUUUUAGAUCAAUCAUGAUAUUGUAUUUUUACCUUUGGCUUUUCCUUUCUAGUAAUUUUUCUAAAGGCAAAAAGUAGAAACUCCAACUAGAUGGGAUCUUAUAGUUUCUUUUAUUCUCUUAGUUGUUUCUUUUAAGCAGGUGGGAGACAUAAUGAAACUUUAACCUUUUGGUAUGGAGUCAAAAGUUGGCAAGUAUUACAUUUAUAAGUAUCCAUUACAAACAAAUUAAUCAUUUACCGAUUAAAAUUUUGGUUAAAACUUACCCUGAAUAAAAGAUUUUCAAGUACAAAACUGUUUCUACUUUAUAGGACUUUUAUGUGGAAGGGCAACGAUAUACUCACCCAUGCAGGGGCCAAAAUUUUAUUAAUGUGAGGAAAAUUAUACUGAAAAAUAUCAUUACUGAAAUUGGAAGGUGUUCAGGACUUCUGCUAAGCCCCUUCACUUCCCUAUUGGAAAAGUUGUUUUUAUUCUGGCGGAUGUCUUUGUUUUCUUUCAUCCCAAAUAAUAAAUCUAUGACCAUGAAAUUCUUAACGCUUUCUCUUUCUUCAUGUACUAAGAAGAGCAUCAAGGUUGGGAAUUUGUCACUUCUUUUCCCACAAAAUGACAAUGAAACCGUCAAAAAACAUUUGGAUUCGACAUCCGCAGUGCCAUGUGGAGAUUGGAAGUGUUAUGUUAAGUAUGAAGGAGAAGAUCAGACAUCAGUAAGCUCUCAGCACUGUCAGGUAAUAAAGAAUGAGACAGCUUCAAC